Molecule: ribosomal RNA, 390 nt
Filed under: uncultured bacterium
Lineage: Bacteria
Description: bacterial SSU rRNA
Rfam family: Bacterial small subunit ribosomal RNA
Source: RNAcentral
GAUGAACGCUAGCGGCAGGCCUAAUACAUGCAAGUCGAACGGUAAGGCCCUUUCGGGGGUACACGAGUGGCGGACGGGUGCGUAACGCGUAUGCAACAUGCCUUCCAGCGGGGGAUAUACCAGGGAAACUUGGCGCAAUACCCCAUAGAAUUACGGGACCGCAUGGUCUUGUGAUUAAAACUCCGGUGCUGGGAGAUUGGCAUGCGUGACAUUAGCUAGUUGGCGGGGUAACGGCCCACCAAGGCGACGAUGUCUAGCUGGUCUGAGAGGAUGAUCAGCCACACUGGGACUGAGACACGGCCCAGACUCCUACGGGAGGCAGCAGUAGGGAAUAUUGGACAAUGGGGGGAACCCGUGAUCCAGCCAUGCCGCGUGAGGGAAGAAGGUCCU